UCCUGGAGAUCUAGUGGUUAGGACUCAGUGUUUUCACCACUGUGGCCUGGGUUCAAUUCCUGGUCUGGGAA
This 71-nucleotide transfer RNA is filed under the name Sus scrofa (pig). It matches the Rfam family "tRNA". Rfam says of the family: Transfer RNA (tRNA) molecules are approximately 80 nucleotides in length. Their secondary structure includes four short double-helical elements and three loops (D, anti-codon, and T loops). The record is from Rfam by way of RNAcentral. Lineage: Eukaryota; Metazoa; Chordata; Mammalia; Artiodactyla; Suidae.